RNAcentral lists this unclassified non-coding RNA (240 nucleotides) under soil metagenome. Its description in RNAcentral is "partial contains 5.8S ribosomal RNA, internal transcribed spacer 2, and large subunit ribosomal RNA". The record is from RNAcentral.
AACUGAUACUACCUGCGGGAACCUGCGGAGGGAUCAUUAAUGAAAUCAUAUUCUCCUUUGGAGUUUCUUCUAGCUGAUGCGUCUUUUGGCUGCACGCUGUUGUCACUCUUUAGGGGUUAUAUUUCCACAAACCCUUCUGUGCAUAUUGGGAGGCUUUAUUGUCCUCUCCUAAUUCAUAUACUCUAAUGUUUAAUCAUGUCAUACAAUGUUAAAUACAUUAAACAACUUUCAACAAUGGAU